GCUCCGAUAGUGUAGUCCGGUCAAUCAUCCAGCCCUUUCGAGGCUGAGACUCGGGUUCGAAUCCCGGUCGGAGCA
Molecule: transfer RNA, 75 nt
Filed under: Candidatus Methanofastidiosia archaeon
Lineage: Archaea; Methanobacteriati; Methanobacteriota; Candidatus Methanofastidiosia
Description: Candidatus Methanofastidiosa archaeon tRNA
Rfam family: tRNA
About the family: Transfer RNA (tRNA) molecules are approximately 80 nucleotides in length.
Source: Rfam by way of RNAcentral